GGGUUGUGAGGUUAAGCGACUAAGCGUACACGGUGGAUGCCCUGGCAGUCAGAGGCGAUGAAGGACGUGCUAAUCUGCGAUAAGCGUCGGUAAGGUGAUAUGAACCGUUAUAACCGGCGAUUUCCGAAUGGGGAAACCCAGUGUGAUUCGUCACACUAUCAUUAACUGAAUCCAUAGGUUAAUGAGGCGAACCGGGGGAACUGAAACAUCUAAGUACCCCGAGGAAAAGAAAUCAACCGAGAUUCCCCCAGUAGCGGCGAGCGAACGGGGAGCAGCCCAGAGCCUGAAUCAGUGUGUGUGUUAGUGGAAGCGUCUGGAAAGGCGUGCGAUACAGGGUGACAGCCCCGUACACAAAAAUGCACAUAUUGUGAGCUCGAUGAGUAGGGCGGGACACGUGGUAUCCUGUCUGAAUAUGGGGGGACCAUCCUCCAAGGCUAAAUACUCCUGACUGACCGAUAGUGAACCAGUACCGUGAGGGAAAGGCGAAAAGAACCCCGGCGAGGGGAGUGAAAAAGAACCUGAAACCGUGUACGUACAAGCAGUGGGAGCACGCUUAGGCGUGUGACUGCGUACCUUUUGUAUAAUGGGUCAGCGACUUAUAUUCUGUAGCAAGGUUAACCGAAUAGGGGAGCCGAAGGGAAACCGAGUCUUAACUGGGCGUUAAGUUGCAGGGUAUAGACCCGAAACCCGGUGAUCUAGCCAUGGGCAGGUUGAAGGUUGGGUAACACUAACUGGAGGACCGAACCGACUAAUGUUGAAAAAUUAGCGGAUGACUUGUGGCUGGGGGUGAAAGGCCAAUCAAACCGGGAGAUAGCUGGUUCUCCCCGAAAGCUAUUUAGGUAGCGCCUCGUGAAUUCAUCUCCGGGGGUAGAGCACUGUUUCGGCAAGGGGGUCAUCCCGACUUACCAACCCGAUGCAAACUGCGAAUACCGGAGAAUGUUAUCACGGGAGACACACGGCGGGUGCUAACGUCCGUCGUGAAGAGGGAAACAACCCAGACCGCCAGCUAAGGUCCCAAAGUCAUGGUUAAGUGGGAAACGAUGUGGGAAGGCCCAGACAGCCAGGAUGUUGGCUUAGAAGCAGCCAUCAUUUAAAGAAAGCGUAAUAGCUCACUGGUCGAGUCGGCCUGCGCGGAAGAUGUAACGGGGCUAAACCAUGCACCGAAGCUGCGGCAGCGACGCUGAUGCGUUGUUGGGUAGGGGAGCGUUCUGUAAGCCUGCGAAGGUGUGCUGUGAGGCAUGCUGGAGGUAUCAGAAGUGCGAAUGCUGACAUAAGUAACGAUAAAGCGGGUGAAAAGCCCGCUCGCCGGAAGACCAAGGGUUCCUGUCCAACGUUAAUCGGGGCAGGGUGAGUCGACCCCUAAGGCGAGGCCGAAAGGCGUAGUCGAUGGGAAACAGGUUAAUAUUCCUGUACUUGGUGUUACUGCGAAGGGGGGACGGAGAAGGCUAUGUUGGCCGGGCGACGGUUGUCCCGGUUUAAGCGUGUAGGCUGGUUUUCCAGGCAAAUCCGGAAAAUCAAGGCUGAGGCGUGAUGACGAGGCACUACGGUGCUGAAGCAACAAAUGCCCUGCUUCCAGGAAAAGCCUCUAAGCAUCAGGUAACAUCAAAUCGUACCCCAAACCGACACAGGUGGUCAGGUAGAGAAUACCAAGGCGCUUGAGAGAACUCGGGUGAAGGAACUAGGCAAAAUGGUGCCGUAACUUCGGGAGAAGGCACGCUGAUAUGUAGGUGAAGUCCCUCGCGGAUGGAGCUGAAAUCAGUCGAAGAUACCAGCUGGCUGCAACUGUUUAUUAAAAACACAGCACUGUGCAAACACGAAAGUGGACGUAUACGGUGUGACGCCUGCCCGGUGCCGGAAGGUUAAUUGAUGGGGUCAGCGCAAGCGAAGCUCUUGAUCGAAGCCCCGGUAAACGGCGGCCGUAACUAUAACGGUCCUAAGGUAGCGAAAUUCCUUGUCGGGUAAGUUCCGACCUGCACGAAUGGCGUAAUGAUGGCCAGGCUGUCUCCACCCGAGACUCAGUGAAAUUGAACUCGCUGUGAAGAUGCAGUGUACCCGCGGCAAGACGGAAAGACCCCGUGAACCUUUACUAUAGCUUGACACUGAACAUUGAGCCUUGAUGUGUAGGAUAGGUGGGAGGCUUUGAAGUGUGGACGCCAGUCUGCAUGGAGCCGACCUUGAAAUACCACCCUUUAAUGUUUGAUGUUCUAACGUUGACCCGUAAUCCGGGUUGCGGACAGUGUCUGGUGGGUAGUUUGACUGGGGCGGUCUCCUCCUAAAGAGUAACGGAGGAGCACGAAGGUUGGCUAAUCCUGGUCGGACAUCAGGAGGUUAGUGCAAUGGCAUAAGCCAGCUUGACUGCGAGCGUGACGGCGCGAGCAGGUGCGAAAGCAGGUCAUAGUGAUCCGGUGGUUCUGAAUGGAAGGGCCAUCGCUCAACGGAUAAAAGGUACUCCGGGGAUAACAGGCUGAUACCGCCCAAGAGUUCAUAUCGACGGCGGUGUUUGGCACCUCGAUGUCGGCUCAUCACAUCCUGGGGCUGAAGUAGGUCCCAAGGGUAUGGCUGUUCGCCAUUUAAAGUGGUACGCGAGCUGGGUUUAGAACGUCGUGAGACAGUUCGGUCCCUAUCUGCCGUGGGCGCUGGAGAACUGAGGGGGGCUGCUCCUAGUACGAGAGGACCGGAGUGGACGCAUCACUGGUGUUCGGGUUGUCAUGCCAAUGGCACUGCCCGGUAGCUAAAUGCGGAAGAGAUAAGUGCUGAAAGCAUCUAAGCACGAAACUUGCCCCGAGAUGAGUUCUCCCUGACUCCUUGAGAGUCCUGAAGGAACGUUGAAGACGACGACGUUGAUAGGCCGGGUGUGUAAGCGCAGCGAUGCGUUGAGCUAACCGGUACUAAUGAACCGUGAGGCUUAACCUUACAACGCCGAAG
RNAcentral lists this ribosomal RNA (2925 nucleotides) under Escherichia coli. RNAcentral's name for it is "bacterial LSU rRNA". It matches the Rfam family "Bacterial large subunit ribosomal RNA". The record is from RNAcentral. Lineage: Bacteria; Pseudomonadati; Pseudomonadota; Gammaproteobacteria; Enterobacterales; Enterobacteriaceae.